RNAcentral lists this transfer RNA (74 nucleotides) under Candidatus Liptonbacteria bacterium RIFCSPLOWO2_01_FULL_52_25. RNAcentral describes it as "tRNA-His". It matches the Rfam family "tRNA". From Rfam's summary of the family: Transfer RNA (tRNA) molecules are approximately 80 nucleotides in length. Their secondary structure includes four short double-helical elements and three loops (D, anti-codon, and T loops). The record is from RNAcentral. Lineage: Bacteria; Candidatus Liptoniibacteriota.
GUGCCUAUGGUGUAAUGGCAGCACUAGAAUCUGUGGCAUUCUCGGAACGGGUUCGAAUCCCGUUAGGCACCCCA